This 1932-nucleotide long non-coding RNA is filed under the name Ananas comosus (pineapple). RNAcentral's name for it is "long non-coding RNA (ACOM_LNC033182)". The record is from RNAcentral. Lineage: Eukaryota; Viridiplantae; Streptophyta; Magnoliopsida; Poales; Bromeliaceae.
CUAUGCGAUAAUUCUAUAGGUACAUGUAAAACAUAGGGGAGCUUCACUUGCUCUGGUUAGGUCAAACCCACCUAUCACUAAGCUCAAAACAGCCCAACAGAAGUUCCAAACUCAGCUCAAACGAUCUCUGGACCUGCUGAAAACAAAGCAUCAAAACCGCGUCGAAACGAUUACUUAAUAAUCCAAUUUCGGCUCCAAUCGCACAUAGUACAAAGUAAUAACUUAAUUCCCUACUUCGGGCUAGCUUAAUACCUCAAGAAGAGUCUCCAAGAGCUCUCUCAAGUCAACUAAAACGAUCCAAGGCUCGAUCGCACUCUCGCUGCGAACAACAUCGAAACGGCAUCAAUAUAGUCGAUUAUAGGCUAAUACAAUCGAAUUCUUGCGAAAUUAAAUUUCUAGCUGGAAUUCCUGCUUACCCCUUGUUAGAACACCUUCUAAUUCAGUCCCCAAAGUCACCAAUUAAGCUUAAUUUGGUUCAACAACCUGCUGCGAAGAGAACAAUUUCCAAACUGCAUUAGUUAUCCAAUUAAACUUCAUAUAGCUCCAACUAGCUUCAUAAUGAACUAAUUAUCUCUAUUAACCUUCAAAGAAGCUUAUCCCUGGUCUAAGGAGGUUAAUUCACAGCUAAUUCAUUCAUCUUUAAUUGCUGAAAUCUCAGUUUAAAGCAGUUGGAAGCAAAAACCUGAAAUCAAUACCCAAAUCGACUAAUAGAGCGCCGAUAACGGGAAAAUCAAGUCGCUUACCUUCUCAAGCUUCCAACCAGCACCUCACUGGUCCAGGGCUGCGAAAAUUCUUCCAAAACACUCCCCCACACGACUACGUAGGCUCUGCGACGCUCGCCACCAGCGAAGAACGCGCGAUGCGACGAAGGCGAAAAUGGUAGAAGUUGGCAUUGGUUUUUACAUAACUUUGGGCAUUAUGUUAUACGCAAUCGACCGGUUUGUUUUAUAUCCGAUAGAUUUAGUGGCUUAAAGGAAAUAGUGGCUGAGUUAUAUCCCACUUGACAGGGGCAUGCACACCGGUGGUGUCUUCGACACAUGAAAGAAAAUAUGGCUAAGCGGUUUAAAAAUGAUUCAUUAUUAGACAAAUUCUAUUGUAUCGGCAGUGCUCCAACAUCGGUACAAUAUUAUAAACUGAAAGAUGAGUUACUCGUACUAGAUCAAGAUGCUUGGAAGUGGGUCGAUGAGCUCGAAGUAUACAAAGAGUAUUGGGCGUGGGCAUUUGAUGGAGGUCGACGCUUCGGGUUGAUGACCACAAAUAUGUCCGAGAGUUUAAAUGGGGUACUUAAGGGAAUUCGUGCUCUCCCAGUAACGGCAUUUGUUGCGGGUACUUUUUAUUAACUUAAUAGUUAUUUUGUAAAGCGUUGUGAAAAUAGUGAAAGUAUGACGGCCACGUUAGCACCUAAAAUACAAAGUCGGAUUACGAUGACUAUGGUGACGGCGCGGGGACAUAUUGUAUAUCGAUUUGGGCUUAAUGAGUUUGAAGUCGAAACAGGACACUCUAAUUACAAUGUUACCCUUAAUGGAACACAAGCGGAUUGUGAUUGCGGUGAAUUCAAGCUAACGGGCAUACCUUGCUCGCAUAUUUUAGCAGUUUGCAAUAAUUCACAACUAAGAAUAUAUUAUCAUAGUCUUGUUCCCAUUGGUAUACUGUAGAGUGUUAUUGCCAGACAUACGCACCGCUUUUCCAUCCAGUUCCACACAGACGCUACUAGCCACGACCCCAGGGCCCACUAAUUGUACCGCCUCCCGUGAGAAGGAAGAAAGGUCGACCACGAUCAACACGUAUUCGUAAUAUAAUGGACGAAACAAGUGGGCGACGAACAAAAUGUAGCAUUUGUAAGCAGGGAGGUCAUUAUAGAAACACCUGUCCACAGAAUACAGAGAUAGCACAACAAGGACGUCGACGUAGGGCUUGAUACCUAACUUAAUA